AACGAACGCUGGCGGCAUGCCUAACACAUGCAAGUCGAACGAAGCCUUCGGACUUAGUGGCGCACGGGUGCGUAACGCGUGGGAAUCUGCCCUUGGGUUCGGAAUAACAGUUAGAAAUGACUGCUAAUACCGGAUGAUGUCUUCGGACCAAAGAUUUAUCGCCCAAGGAUGAGCCCGCGUAGGAUUAGGUGGUUGGUGGGGUAAUGGCCCACCAAGCCGACGAUCCUUAGCUGGUCUGAGAGGAUGAUCAGCCACACUGGGACUGAGACACGGCCCAGACUCCUACGGGAGGCAGCAGUGGGGAAUAUUGGACAAUGGGCGAAAGCCUGAUCCAGCAAUGCCGCGUGAGUGAUGAAGGCCUUAGGGUUGUAAAGCUCUUUUACCCGGGAUGAUAAUGACAGUACCGGGAGAAUAAGCUCCGGCUAACUCCGUGCCAGCCGCCGCAGUAA
RNAcentral lists this ribosomal RNA (449 nucleotides) under uncultured bacterium. RNAcentral's name for it is "partial 16S ribosomal RNA". It matches the Rfam family "Bacterial small subunit ribosomal RNA", at positions 29 to 523 of the family's 1533-position model. The record is from RNAcentral.